AAAAAGAUAAGCUAACCAAGCUUUUGGGUUCAUACCUCAACCAUAAAGGCAUAAAUCCUUUUCUUUUUA
This 69-nucleotide transfer RNA is filed under the name Platychile pallida. RNAcentral describes it as "tRNA-Met". The record is from RNAcentral. Lineage: Eukaryota; Metazoa; Arthropoda; Insecta; Coleoptera; Carabidae.